RNAcentral lists this ribosomal RNA (394 nucleotides) under uncultured bacterium. Its description in RNAcentral is "partial 16S ribosomal RNA". It matches the Rfam family "Bacterial small subunit ribosomal RNA", at positions 523 to 918 of the family's 1533-position model. The record is from RNAcentral.
AUACGGAGGAUGCAAGCGUUAUCCGGAUUUAUUGGGUUUAAAGGGUGCGUAGGCGGAUGAUUAAGCGUGAGGUGAAAUGCCACUGCUCAACAGUGGAACUGCCUCGCGAACUGGUUGUCUUGAAUGCUCCUGCCGUGGGAGGAAUGUGUGGUGUAGCGGUGAAAUGCAUAGAGAUCACACAGAACACCGAUUGCGAAGGCACCUCACGAAGGGGUGAUUGACGCUGAGGCACGAAAGCGUGGGGAUCAAACAGGAUUAGAUACCCUGGUAGUCCACGCAGUAAACGAUGAUAACUAACCGCUGGGUCGUAGUGAUUCAGUGGCCAAGCGAAAGCGAUAAGUUAUCCACCUGGGGAGUACGACCGCAAGGUUGAAACUCAAAUGAAUUGACGGGG